UCCUCAGUCAGACCAGCAGAAACUGGACCAGCAGCACAACAAGGUAACACGUCUGGUGAACAGGUCAGAGUUCAUAUCCUCAGUCAGACCAGCAGAAACUGGACCAGCAGCACAACAAGGUAACACGUCUGGUGAACAGGUCAGAGUUCAUAUCCUCAGUCAGACCAGCAGAAACUGGACCAGCAGCACAACAAGGUAACACGUCUGGUGAACAGGUCAGAGUUCAUAUCCUCAGUCAGACCAGCAGAAACUGGACCAGCAGCACAACAAGGUAACACGUCUGGUGAACAGGUCAGAGUUCAUAUCCUCAGUCAGACCAGCAGAAACUGGACCAGCAGCACAACAAGGUAACACGUCUGGUGAACAGGUCAGAGUUCAUAUCCUCAGUCAGACCAGCAGAAACUGGACCAGCAGCACAACAAGGUAACACGUCUGGUGAACAGGUCAGAGUUCAUAUCCUCAGUCAGACCAGCAGAAACUGGACCAGCAGCACAACAAGGUAACACGUCUGGUGAACAGGUCAGAGUUCAUAUCCUCAGUCAGACCAGCAGAAACUGGACCAGCAGCACAACAAGGUAACACGUCUGGUGAACAGGUCAGAGUUCAUAUCCUCAGUCAGACCAGCAGAAACUGGACCAGCAGCACAACAAGGUAACACGUCUGGUGAACAGGUCAGAGUUCAUAUCCUCAGUCAGACCAGCAGAAACUGGACCAGCAGCACAACAAGGUAACACGUCUGGUGAACAGGUCAGAGUUCAUAUCCUCAGUCAGACCAGCAGAAACUGGACCAGCAGCACAACAAGGUAACACGUCUGGUGAACAGGUCAGAGUUCAUAUCCUCAGUCAGACCAGUAGAA
This is a long non-coding RNA of Oncorhynchus tshawytscha (Chinook salmon), 857 nucleotides long. RefSeq lists it as uncharacterized. NCBI's taxonomy places the organism in Eukaryota, Metazoa, Chordata, Actinopteri, Salmoniformes, Salmonidae. The transcript has 3 exons. The record is from RefSeq and is a predicted model, not a curated record.